AACGAACGCUGGCGGCGCGCUUAACACAUGCAAGUCGAACGAGAAGGCGUAGCAAUACGCUUGUAAAGUGGCGAACGGGUGAGGAAUACAUGGGUAACCUACCCUCGAGUGGGGGAUAACCCGCCGAAAGGCGGGCUAAUACCGCGUACGCUUCCGAUCUUGUGGGAUCGGAAGGAAAGCUGUCCCUUGGGGAUGGCGCUCAAGGAUGGGCUCAUGUCCUAUCAGCUUGUUGGUAGGGAACGGCCUACCAAGGCAUCGACGGGUAGCUGGUCUGAGAGGACGAUCAGCCACACUGGCACUGCGACACGGGCCAGACUCCUACGGGAGGCAGCAGUGAGGAAUAUUGCGCAAUGGGCGAAAGCCUGACGCAGCGACGCCGC
Molecule: ribosomal RNA, 380 nt
Filed under: uncultured bacterium
Lineage: Bacteria
Description: bacterial SSU rRNA
Rfam family: Bacterial small subunit ribosomal RNA
Source: RNAcentral